AGCUUUGCGCAGUGGCAGUAUCGUAGCCAAUGAGGUUUAUCCGAGGCGCGAUUAUUGCUAAUUAAAAAUGUGAACAAAGCUGACAUUUUGAGUUAUGCACAAUAAGUAAAGCUGCUAUACGUGCAG
RNAcentral lists this small nuclear RNA (126 nucleotides) under Chinchilla lanigera (long-tailed chinchilla). Its description in RNAcentral is "U4 spliceosomal RNA (ENSCLAG00000020755.1)". The stretch from base 1 to 81 matches the Rfam family "U4 spliceosomal RNA". From Rfam's summary of the family: U4 small nuclear RNA (U4 snRNA) is a component of the major U2-dependent spliceosome. The record is from Rfam by way of RNAcentral. Lineage: Eukaryota; Metazoa; Chordata; Mammalia; Rodentia; Chinchillidae.